GAUGAACGCUGGCGGCGUGCCUAAUACAUGCAAGUCGAACGAGUUCUUCGGAACUAGUGGCGGAGGGGUGAGUAACACGUUGGUACCUACCCCGAAGUGGGGAAUAACUGGCCGAAAGGUCGGCUAAUACCGCAUAAUACCGUAAGGUUAAAGCAGUAAUGCGCUUCGGGAGGGGCCUGCGUCUGAUUAGCUAGAUGGUAGUGUAAUGGACUACCAAGGCGACGAUCAGUAGCUGGAUCGAGAGGUUGACCAGCCACACUGGGACUGAGAUACGGCCCAGACUCCUACGGGAGGCAGCAGUAAGGAAUCUUCCACAAUGGACGAAAGUCUGAUGGAGCAACGCCGCGUGCAGGAUGACGGCCUUCGGGUUGUAAACUGCUUUUAUAUGGGAAGAUUAUGACGGUACCAUAUGAAUAAGGACCGGCUAACUACGUGCCAGCAGCCGCGGUAA
RNAcentral lists this ribosomal RNA (451 nucleotides) under uncultured bacterium. RNAcentral's name for it is "partial 16S ribosomal RNA". It matches the Rfam family "Bacterial small subunit ribosomal RNA", at positions 28 to 523 of the family's 1533-position model. The record is from RNAcentral.